This 258-nucleotide ribosomal RNA is filed under the name uncultured bacterium. Its description in RNAcentral is "partial 16S ribosomal RNA". It matches the Rfam family "Bacterial small subunit ribosomal RNA", at positions 524 to 776 of the family's 1533-position model. The record is from RNAcentral.
UACGUAGGGUGCAAGCGUUUAAUCGGAAUUACUGGGGCGUAAAGCGUGCGCAGGCGGCUAUGCAAGACAGAUGUGAAAUCCCCGGGCUUAACCUGGGAACUGCAUUUUGUGACUGCAUGGCUAGAGUACGGUAGAGGGGGGAUGGAAUUCCGCGUGUAGCAGUGAAAUGCGUAGAGAUCGGGCGGGAACACCAGCGGCGAAGGCGGCAUCCUGGCCCUGACCUGACGCUGAGGCGCGAGAGCGUGGGGAGCAAACUGG